Molecule: long non-coding RNA, 2374 nt
Organism: Triticum dicoccoides
Lineage: Eukaryota; Viridiplantae; Streptophyta; Magnoliopsida; Poales; Poaceae
Exons: 5
Source: RefSeq, a predicted model, not a curated record
CGCACCCUCCUCUCUCUCCCUUUCCUUCAUCCCCUCACUAGAUUGCGCCGUCGCUGCUGGCCUGCCGCUACCAGCACCGGCCGCCUCCACCGCCGAUUCGCACUGCGACAGCGCCACACGGACUACGUCCUACUCUCCUCCUCCGAUCAUCCACCACCGGCUCGCUGUUCUACCUCGCCGGCGGCGCUGCGGCUAACCCUAGCCGCCCCUGUCCGACGCGUGGCGGCGCAAGCGGCCUCCCGUGCUCCUUGGCUCGGCCUUCGUCGCCUUCUUCCACGCCUCCCGCGCGGAUUCGCCUCCUCUGGUUCAGAGAUUCCAGGCGGUGAUGACGAUGACGAUGGUCGACAUCCUACGUGGCUUGCGGGACAGGAAGGGAGGGGAGCCAGCAUACGUUGUUCAUGCUCAGACUCGGUGGCGUGUUUGAGCUCCUGCAUUGUUUCGCUGCGGUGACAAUUUUUCCUAGCUCAACACCUAUCAAUUUCGUGGCUUCUUAUGGUUCAGAAGAAUAUAUACACUCCCUCCAUUCCUAAAUAUAAGUUUUUGUAGAGAUUUCACUAUGGACUACAUACGGAACAAAAUGAGUGAAUCUACACUCUAAAGACUUAUAUUUAGGAACGGAGGGAGUAUAUGUGAACAUGGACCAUUGCAAGAGUACCAUAUUCGUUUAUGGUCGAAGCAUUUUGAUUGUCGACUAUUACCCCCAAUAGGUUGCAGGUACACAAAUGAGAUUGCUCUGAUGCAUUCUGUCAACAUGGCAAUGCUACCGAAUGUAUUAGUAUUAAUCUGUUUGGACUUUCUUUGGUAUUGGAUCUAUGGUUUGUGUUGAUUAGGAAUAGCUUUCUUAUUGAUGGAUUCGUUGAUCAGACAAUCAAAGUAAUAUGCCAUCCUAUGAUAUGGAAUCCAAACGAUAGGGUUUUGUAAAGUUCUCUAAAUGAAGUAUAUGCGGUGUUGUAGAAAAUGAGAUGUGAAGUAACUAAGUAAGGCAGAUCUGAAGAAUGUAAUAACUUGUUGCUGCUACUCUGCAAGCUACUCGAGAAGGAGCUGAAGGGUGUAUGCUACCUCCAUGUGAUCUACGUGUUUGCCAAUGACACGGUGUGGUGGCAUCACAGAGAAGAAAUGUGGAAGGGGAAGGAUCAUCCAAUGAAGGGUGCAAAGUGAAGAUAGAGAACCAUGUCGCCAUUUCAGACUUCAAGCUCCGCGAUAUCGCAUCGCUGCUACAGGGGACAGACCUCAAGAGAUCACCGAGCCUACCCAAAAAGGACGCCUGUGUCACCAUCAACACCCUCUUCUACCCGUUCAUGAAGAACCAACAGCAAGGUCAUCAUUGCUAAACCCCUUCAAGGUCACCCGGAACCUCCUCAAAAUGGCUCCUUGCAAUAUGUGCUAGCAAGUACUAUGCCAUGAAAAAAUGUAGAUUGGCAAGGUAGAGUAACUGUACUUGAGGACUUUCUUCGUCAUGAUAUAAAAGCGGACAACUUCCUUGUGGUCUUAGGCCGUAAAGCCAGUCAGGUUUCUGCCAUUCAUGCACAUUUACGGGACAUUGUGUUAUUGCCUGAAGGCAAUACAUCAGGUAUGCCUGAAGGCAAUACAUGAGGUAGUACAGGGGCAUCAUCUAUUUCUCUCAUUGUGAUGCCAAGUUAUCUCGCACGUGAUCAAAUCUGAAAAGCUGACCUCAGGCCCGAAAAUGAAUUGUCGUUUCUCCGAGUAGUUGCAGAAAGGAUAAGCCUGCUCCUGAAUGUCGUGAUAUAGAACAGUCAAUUGUGCUUGAUGUGAAAACAGUUGUUGGGAUACAGUUUUAUUCUGGGUAUCCUCAGUUUAUUGUACACCUACAAAAGGGAUGUAUACCUGAGUGUAAUGCUUCUCAGUUGGGGGUUGUAGAAUGUCUAUUUGUUUGAUGCAAAAUUAAAAAAAUGUCUAUUUGUUAGAUGAAAAUGAAGAAUUUCUUGCGGGUCAUCAACAAUUUUAGAAUGCAUUGAUAUUGUUUAGUUAAUAUAUUUCCAAUUUUUUGCAGUAUAUGUACGAUCUAUUUCUUUCAUUUUCUCAUAUUUCUAUUGUUUUUCUUCAACUUUUCUGUUUUUUGGAUGUAGUGAUGUGAGCCUUUGCGAUGGAGCUUUUUUAGGAGCCAAAAGAGGCUAGGAUCAAUCACAAAACCAUCAAUCAUCCUAAUUCAAAACUAAAACACCUCAGACCCAAGGUCAAACAACUACAAGUUUAUUGGACCUAAGAAAAAAGCUCAACACACUCUUCUCUUGCAACCAAUAGAAUUUCUCUAUUCAGUUACAUACCAUCAUUGAUGGUGGAAAGCACAAACUAUACUAAAGCACAGUACUUCAAAACAAUUCAAACAAAUGUAUACAAAUUACUUUGGAUGCCU